UGUGGGCAUAGAUAUUUAGCAAAGUUGACAUGCAUUUAGUCUACUGUUUGAGGUCAACAAAUAAAGGUCUGACUUAGGCAAAAAGAAAAAUGUCUUACAGCCAGUGUUUAUAUUCCAAACAAUGGUCUGAGGCCAUGUGUACGGAUACAUGCGCACUUAAAACAACCCCACCAG
Molecule: long non-coding RNA, 174 nt
Filed under: Carlito syrichta (Philippine tarsier)
Lineage: Eukaryota; Metazoa; Chordata; Mammalia; Primates; Tarsiidae
Description: Deleted in lymphocytic leukemia 1 conserved region 1 (ENSTSYG00000032771.1)
Rfam family: Deleted in lymphocytic leukemia 1 conserved region 1
Source: RNAcentral